RNAcentral lists this ribosomal RNA (165 nucleotides) under uncultured bacterium. Its description in RNAcentral is "partial 16S rRNA". It matches the Rfam family "Bacterial small subunit ribosomal RNA", at positions 355 to 511 of the family's 1533-position model. The record is from RNAcentral.
UAGGGAAUCUUCGGCAAUGGACGAAAGUCUGACCGAGCGACGCCGCGUGAGUGAAGAAGGUUUUCGGAUCGUAAAACUCUGUUGGUAGAGAAGAACGUUGGUGAGAGUGGAAAGCUCAUCAAGUGACGGUAACUACCCAGAAAGGGACGGCUAACUACGUGCCAG